Molecule: unclassified non-coding RNA, 626 nt
Filed under: Drosophila pseudoobscura pseudoobscura
Lineage: Eukaryota; Metazoa; Arthropoda; Insecta; Diptera; Drosophilidae
Description: GA12234
Source: RNAcentral
GGUCAGAAUCAGAAUCACUGAAUCAGGGAGCGCGACGCGACGCGGACGGAUCAAAAAAUAAUAACAAUAAACGUAAUAUUUGCAAACUUGAUAAUGGCCAUGAGCCUUUGGCCUGUGAAGAAGUUAUUGCAUUGCGGAUGACAAUCUGGCUAUCUGGCAAUCUGUCGAGACUGUGCGUGCGUGCGGUUGCAGUUAAUUCAGCUUUAUCUAAAAAUAAAUAAAAUCAGCAGCAUCAGAGCAACAGCAACAACAGUCGCGGCAUCAUCCAACACACAGCACACAUACAAAUUGGCCGAGCAACGGUUUAAGUUAAACCAAACCCCCCCUCCUUCUUCACUGACCCCCAAAAAAGGCCAAAGGUGCAAGUGCUUCUCUCACACUUAAACGCACACGGAUAGAGCGGCUUAGCAGAGACAGCAACCAAAAGCUGCUGAGAAUACCGUUUGAUUGAUUAUUGCUGCUGCUGUUCUUCUCUCCUUCUCCUCCUCCUCCUCCACCAGAGCGACUGCACCAGCACAUAUCCCGGAGGUGGCGACGGAGGACAAGGGACCUCGAGUUCCAACUCCUCGAACUCUUCGCACAAGCAACAGCAGCAGCACUCCAACAACAACCGCCAGAAGUCGCAG